GGCUGAUAGGCCGGGUGUGUAAGCGCAGCGAUGCGUUGAGCUAACCGGUACUAAUGAACCGUGAGGCUUAACCUUACAACGCCAAAG
Molecule: ribosomal RNA, 87 nt
Filed under: Cronobacter sakazakii
Lineage: Bacteria; Pseudomonadati; Pseudomonadota; Gammaproteobacteria; Enterobacterales; Enterobacteriaceae
Description: partial 23S ribosomal RNA
Rfam family: Bacterial large subunit ribosomal RNA (bases 1-75)
Source: RNAcentral